This 465-nucleotide ribosomal RNA is filed under the name uncultured bacterium. Its description in RNAcentral is "partial 16S ribosomal RNA". It matches the Rfam family "Bacterial small subunit ribosomal RNA", at positions 338 to 795 of the family's 1533-position model. The record is from RNAcentral.
CCUACGGGAGGCAGCAGUGAGGAAUAUUGGUCAAUGGGCGAAAGCCUGACGCAGCGACGCCGCGUGAGGGAUGAAGGUCUUCGGAUCGUAAACCUCUGUCAGCAGGGAAGAACGGUCACUGUGCUAAUCAGCAGUGAAUUGACGGUACCUGCAAAGGAAGCACCGGCUAACUCCGUGCCAGCAGCCGCGGUAAUACGGAGGGUGCGAGCGUUAAUCGGAAUUACUGGGCGUAAAGCGCUCGUAGGCGGUAUGGCAAGUCAAGGGGGAAAUCCCCGGGCUCAACGUGGGAACUGCCUUUGAAACUGGCAAACUGGAGUGUGUGAGAGGAUAGUGGAAUUCCAGGUGUAGGAGUGAAAUCCGUAGAUAUCUGGAGGAACAUCAGUGGCGAAGGCGACUAUCUGGCACAUAACUGACGCUGAGGAGCGAAAGCGUGGGUAGCAAACAGGAUUAGAUACCCCAGUAGUC